Rana temporaria (common frog) is the source of this 1120-nucleotide long non-coding RNA. RefSeq lists it as uncharacterized. The transcript is spliced from 3 exons. Lineage: Eukaryota; Metazoa; Chordata; Amphibia; Anura; Ranidae. The record is from RefSeq and is a predicted model, not a curated record.
AGCACAGACAGACAGGUAAUGAGCUACACCUGUCCUCGGUCAUGUGACUCAGCUGGUCUGCUCUGCAGGACAGAAUUGGGGCAGGUGAGACGUGUUACACCGAAUGGAGGAAACAAGACCCGCCAUGUAUUGUAUAUGAGAGAGGAAAUGAAAAGAUCCUUUCUGGUUCAUCACACCUCAACAAAACCUGCAACAACGACUUCAAACUAAAAGUUGAAUCAACAACCAAAGUCUGCCCAUUGUGUGCACAUCGCAGACCUACCUGGAUGAAGAUCCGAGCAAGCUGUUUUCUUUUCUGCUGCAAAGACUUUGAAGAUUAAACGAGGAGGAAAUCCUUUGUGGGAGAUGUCAACUGCGGCUCCUCUCCUAAACCUUACCGCUUACAGCUUUCCUGCGAUGCAUUUCAGGUGAUGGCGAAGGCGAUGGCAGACAGUCCAGGUGUGAGGAUGUGGAAUUAUUUUUCUUCUGGAUUUGCUCUUCCGUAAGAUCGAGAAAUUUGGUUAUUGACAGUCCAGCAACCGGCUGCUUAUACCUUGCAUACUGAAGAGCAUCCAUGAUCCACCGCACUUCACGCCAAAUUUCAUCUGUUUGCUAUUAAAACAUGAAAAUGUAAAAAUAUAUUUACGUUGAAGCUCUCAUAUUAUCCUACAUAUAUAUAUUUGGUAUGGCAGCAUUACACAAACAUUUUAAAACUCUAGAACACCACCCCCUUACUGUGUUUUUAAAAAAGAUGUCUACUGUUAGAAAAGGUGUAAGACCGAGCACAGCAGCCAUACACAGAGGAGUGGUUGCACGCACCAAAGCUGGAAUGGUGGGUUGUGUGAAGCACUUUCCUUUCACAGGUGGGGCACCAGUAGUCUUGAAUCACCUCAGGAAGAAAAGACUAUUCUCCUGAGUCUUUGACGACUGAGGAAGUCUACCUGCCAAUUUUCCAUGCCGUGCACAGUGGACUGGGCUGGAACAGGAAGUCUGAUUGGAGUCUCUGUGAGACCUCUGCUACCUCCCUGAUGGUUGAUGUAAGCCACUGCCAAUGGUGUUUUUCCGGCUUAAUCCUGGUCAAAAGACCUAGUUAAGAGGUCCAACAUUGAAGGGGAAACCAAUGCUUGACCUCUUGCACCAA